UCCUUUCACCGCCUAAAUCCGUGAAAAAAUCUCCUCUAUCUAGUUCGUCGGCCUCUUCAUCAUCGUCGUCCUCAAAACCUUCGUCUCCGACAACUGCUAUAUCCUCUCCAAGGAUCUCAACUCAGGUUCCUGACUAUUGCGUCCAUCAGAUCCCAACGCCAGUGAGGUUUUCGUACCGCUGGAAGAAGUCUCAGUCGAAGAUUCCUCACUGCUCAUAUCAUCUUCAAGGGAACCCUAGCCACAUCUACCUCAUCCACAAUGGCAAUCACUGGCAAUAACACCAACUAGAAUGAGGAAAAUCAAAGCAAACAUAAAUAUAAGAUAUAACGAAAUAGAAAAAGGAAAUUCCAAG
RNAcentral lists this unclassified non-coding RNA (352 nucleotides) under Hevea brasiliensis (rubber tree). The record is from RNAcentral. Lineage: Eukaryota; Viridiplantae; Streptophyta; Magnoliopsida; Malpighiales; Euphorbiaceae.